GUCCACGCCCUAAACGAUGUCAACUAGUUGUCGGGGAAGUUAUUCCUUGGUAACGAAGCUAACGCGUGAAGUUGACCGCCUGGGGGAGUACGGCCGCAAGGUUAAAACUCAAAGGAAUUGACGGGGACCCGCACAAGCGGUGGAUUAUGUGGAUUAAUUCGAUGCAACGCGAAAACCUUACCUACCCUUGACAUGUCAGGAAGCCCCGCAGAGAUGCGGGGGGUGCCCGAAAGGGAACCUGAACACAGGUGCUGCAUGGCUGUCGU
This 266-nucleotide ribosomal RNA is filed under the name uncultured bacterium. RNAcentral's name for it is "partial 16S ribosomal RNA". It matches the Rfam family "Bacterial small subunit ribosomal RNA", at positions 793 to 1055 of the family's 1533-position model. The record is from RNAcentral.